AUCCAGUCUGCUGAAAGAGUCCGCAUAUCAGAAAGAAUCCUUGAAAGAUCCUUCUUCUUUCUGAAGGUAGUUCGCAACAUUGUCGCCAAAGUGUUUUGGACAAAAUCUGCAUGUAUUGUUUCCCACAAGGCAUCAGCUACCAAUGUGUCACAUCUAUGCAUCAAGGAUCCAACAUUCUUUACGUAGGUAAUGAGUUCAACAAGUGCCUUCCUUUCC
Molecule: unclassified non-coding RNA, 216 nt
Filed under: Hevea brasiliensis (rubber tree)
Lineage: Eukaryota; Viridiplantae; Streptophyta; Magnoliopsida; Malpighiales; Euphorbiaceae
Source: RNAcentral